CAUGCAAGUCGAACGGAAACCUUCGGGUUUUAGUGGCGAACGGGUGAGUAACACGUAAGCAACCUGCCCUUAAGACGAGGAUAACAAUUGGAAACAGUUGCUAAGACUGGAUAGGAAAAGUAAAGGCAUCUUUACUUUUUUAAAAGACCUUCUUUGAAGGUAUGCUUAAGGAGGGGCUUGCGACACAUUAGUUAGUUGGCAGGGUAAAGGCCUACCAAGACUAUGAUGUGUAGCUGGACUGAGAGGUUGAACAGCCACAUUGGGACUGAGACACGGCCCAAACUCCUACGGGAGGCAGCAGUAGGGAAUUUUCGGCAAUGGAGGAAACUCUGACCGAGCAACGCCGCGUGAACGAUGAAGUACCUCGGUAUGUAAAGUUCUUUUAUUAAGGAAGAAAAAAGAGUGGAAAAACUCCCUUGACGGUACUUAAUGAAUAAGCCCCGGCUAAUUAUGUGCCAGCAGCCGCGGUAAUACAUAAGGGGCGAGCGUUAUCCGGAAUUAUUGGGCGUAAAGGGUGCGUAGGCGGUUUAAUAAGUCUAUAGUUUAAUUUCAGUGCUUAACGCUGUUGUGCUAUAGAAACUGUUUUACUAGAGUGAGUUAGAGGCAAGCGGAAUUCCAUGUGUAGCGGUAAAAUGCGUAAAUAUAUGGAGGAACACCAGAGGCGUAGGCGGCUUGCUGGGACUUUACUGACGCUGAGGCACGAAAGCGUGGGGAGCAAACAGGAUUAGAUACCCUGGUAGUCCACGCCGUAAACGAUGAGUACUAAGUGUCGGGUAAAACCGGUACUGAAGUUAACACAUUAAGUACUCCGCCUGAGUAGUACGUACGCAAGUAUGAAACUUAAAGGAAUUGACGGGACUCCGCACAAGCGGUGGAUCAUGUUGUUUAAUUCGAAGAUACACGAAAAACCUUACCAGGUCUUGACAUUUUCUUGCGAAGUUAUAGAAAUAUAAUGGAGGUUAUCAGGAAAACAGGUGGUGCAUGGUUGUCGUCAGCUCGUGUCGUGAGAUGUUAGGUUAAGUCCUAAAACGAGCGCAACCCUUGUCGUUAAUUGCCAGCAUGUAAUGAUGGGGACUUUAACGAGACUGCCAAUGAAAAAUUGGAGGAAGGUGGGGAUUACGUCAAAUCAUCAUGCCCCUUAUGAUCUGGGCUACAAACGUGAUACAAUGGUUGAUACAAAGAGUAGCUGAAACGCGAGUUCUUAGCCAAUCUCACAAAAUCAAUCUCAGUUCGGAUUGAAGUCUGCAACUCGACUUCAUGAAGUUGGAAUCGCUAGUAAUCGCGAAUCAGCAUGUCGCGGUGAAUACGUUCUCGGGGUUUGUACACACCGCCCGUCAAACCACGAAAGUUGGCAAUACCCCAAAGCGGUCACCUAACUUCGCAAGAAGAAGGAUCCGUCUAAGGUAGGGUCGAUGAUUGGGGUUAAG
RNAcentral lists this ribosomal RNA (1427 nucleotides) under 'Citrus sinensis' X-disease phytoplasma. RNAcentral describes it as "bacterial SSU rRNA". It matches the Rfam family "Bacterial small subunit ribosomal RNA". The record is from RNAcentral. Lineage: Bacteria; Bacillati; Mycoplasmatota; Mollicutes; Acholeplasmatales; Acholeplasmataceae.